AUAAUGACUCUCGGCAACGGAUAUCUCGGCUCUCGCAUCGAUGAAGAACGUAGCGAAAUGCGAUACUUGGUGUGAAUUGCAGAAUCCCGUGAACCAUCGAGUCUUUGAACGCAAGUUGCGCCCCAAGCCAUUAGGCCGAGGGCACGCCUGCCUGGGUGUCACGC
This 164-nucleotide ribosomal RNA is filed under the name Melhania lisae. RNAcentral's name for it is "Paramelhania decaryana 5.8S ribosomal RNA". It matches the Rfam family "5.8S ribosomal RNA". From Rfam's summary of the family: 5.8S ribosomal RNA (5.8S rRNA) is a component of the large subunit of the eukaryotic ribosome. RNAcentral also lists the same sequence under 5 other names. The record is from RNAcentral. Lineage: Eukaryota; Viridiplantae; Streptophyta; Magnoliopsida; Malvales; Malvaceae.